RNAcentral lists this small RNA (107 nucleotides) under Pedobacter terrae. Its description in RNAcentral is "Flavo-1 RNA". It matches the Rfam family "Flavo-1 RNA". The record is from RNAcentral. Lineage: Bacteria; Pseudomonadati; Bacteroidota; Sphingobacteriia; Sphingobacteriales; Sphingobacteriaceae.
UUUUAACCAUCAACUCCUGCGUGAAGGAUAGCAGUGGAAAUCCUUUUGCUGCUAAGUUGAGCAUAGCGAAACGCAGCAAAAGAUUGUAACGGAUAGCCUGACCCUUU